Molecule: long non-coding RNA, 484 nt
Organism: Hyaena hyaena (striped hyena)
Lineage: Eukaryota; Metazoa; Chordata; Mammalia; Carnivora; Hyaenidae
Exons: 3
Source: RefSeq, a predicted model, not a curated record
UCACACCAUCACCCCUCUCUUAGCCCCAUUUGGGAUAUCUCAAGCACACCACUGAUAACGUUCAUAUAAUGAAAUAGUUUUCAGCUUUCCCACAUCAGUGAAAAAGGAGUACAUUCAUUGCAAUUUCUUUUUACAUUGAAAUCAUAUGGAACAACUAUGGAGUUCUCUGUCAUGCCCUGCCUUUGAGAAUAUGGAAGCAAACAAAUUUCCUUGGGUGGAAAGAAAAUGAAAGAAUCAAAUUUUUCUAUAUGAGUUAAUCACAUUGAUUUCUAUGUUCUCAUCCUAAAAUUUUUAUGGGUGGUAUUCUACAGAAAAAAAAAUAUAUGUAGUCAGAGAAGCAACAUUAUGAAACAAAAGCUUAACUUUAGGUUUAGACCAUCCAGUCUAUUAGAGCCACUAGCUUGUAAGAGGGACCUUAACUAUGAUAAACUAGCCUUUUGUUAUUAGGAAUGUGUCUGGAUGUGCACUUGUGUAUAUAUGCAAU